Sitodiplosis mosellana (orange wheat blossom midge) is the source of this 325-nucleotide long non-coding RNA. RefSeq lists it as uncharacterized. The record is from RefSeq and is a predicted model, not a curated record. The transcript is spliced from 2 exons. NCBI's taxonomy places the organism in Eukaryota, Metazoa, Arthropoda, Insecta, Diptera, Cecidomyiidae.
AAAGAAACCGAUCAAGAUGUUCAAGUGAUUUUAGACAUAUGCUCAACGUUGUCAACUGCUCAAGUAAUCAAGAUUCUGAAAUCAUACACGUUAGAUGAUUGUGAGGCUCCAAUCAAACCGGCAUUCAUUGAAAAGCUAACGAUCAAACUGAAUGAGCGACCGAUGAAGGUGAUUUGGAUUUUAGUUUUUAUUUUUUUUCUUCCCUUUUAUUCAUAUUUAAUAAAUAUGAUUUUUUGACGAUUUUUCCUUUUCAACUGAUUUUUGCUUAAGGACUCAAGUCAAUUGGGUCAAAAAUUGACCGAAAGUGGAAUAUUUGGCUGGCAUU